Molecule: ribosomal RNA, 437 nt
Filed under: uncultured bacterium
Lineage: Bacteria
Description: partial 16S ribosomal RNA
Rfam family: Bacterial small subunit ribosomal RNA
Source: RNAcentral
CGCUCCCUCUGGCGGCAUGCUUAACACAUGCAAGUCGCGCGGGUGGUUUCGGCCAUCCGCGGCGGACGGGUGAGUAUCGCGUAGGAAUGUAUCCCGAGGUGGGGGACAACCCUGGGAAACUGGGGCUAAUACCGCAUGGGGCCUGUGGGUCAAAGCCUUAGGGCGCCUUGGGAGCAGCCUGCGUCCGAUUAGGUAGUUGGUGGGGUAAAGGCCUACCAAGCCUGCGAUCGGUAGCUGGUCUGAGAGGACGAUCAGCCACACUGGGACUGAGACACGGCCCAGACUCCUACGGGAGGCAGCAGUGGGGAAUAUUGGACAAUGGGCGCAAGCCUGAUCCAGCAAUGCCGCGUGGGUGAAGAAGGUCUUCGGAUUGUAAAGCCCUUUCGGCGGGGACGAUGAUGACGGUACCCGCAGAAGAAGCCCCGGCUAACUUCGUG